This is a long non-coding RNA of Rhea pennata, 2906 nucleotides long. RefSeq lists it as uncharacterized. Lineage: Eukaryota; Metazoa; Chordata; Aves; Rheiformes; Rheidae. The record is from RefSeq and is a predicted model, not a curated record. The transcript has 2 exons.
UGAGUUCAUUCCCUCUAUUUGGCAGGAGGGGAGAAUGCAAUAUGAGUACCUAUUAAUUUAAAUAAAGCAGGCAUUUUAAAAUUCUACAGGACAGGGAAGGCAUAAGCCCAUGUUGCUAAUCGUUAGAAUAACUUUGUUGUCUGAAAAUUAGUACAUAAAUCCUCUUCGCAGCCACAGACUUAAUUAAUUAAUGGUGCUCACGUCUCUCCUCUUGCCCUUGCCAGAGGUGACCUGGAGUGAGACAGCUCUGGAGCGCCAGGUUCACUGGGCCUCGUGCUAGGGGCCGAGCUCUCGCAGGAGGGGCUCCAAGCACCCCCCGACGGCCGUGCCCCGGCCCUGCUCGCCACGGGGUUUCUGCCUGUGCAGCCCUCUUCCCCUUCCUGCUCCCGGAGGGGCUGAACGCGACGGCUGCUGCGCCAGGGACGCUGCUGCUUAAGCUACUGGCUUUGAGCUGUUUGGCUCUCUGCGUUCUGCGCUCCUUCCUGACACACGCGCGUCUUUGAGCGCCAUUAAAAGUCUAACGAGCGAUUCAUUAAACACUGCCCUCUCAGCUGCCGAGCGCCUGUGGCAGUAACUCCUGACGCUUCCAACAGGAAUAAGUAAUCCCUGCCUAAAUGCAGGGGAACGCGCUUUCUGGCACUGCGUGCACCACAAGCCCAGCGCUGUGGUCAAAGUGGAGGCCUCUUCCUCUCCGCCCGCCAGCGUGUGCGUCUCUGUUACCUGAAAAUGCUUAUGUUGCCUUUCAUUCCUGCUGGGAAAGAGCGAGGAGGCGGAGUGCUCCACAGAGCUGAGGCUCGCAAUGGGCCAACAAGCUACCCAAGGAUCCGUUUUGGUCUACAGCCUACCCACUGUGGCCGCUAUCUGUGCUCAAAUUCAGCAGUCGUUACUCUGGAAAUUAACCCAUGCAUUUCAAACCAAAAUCUGUUAAUCAUUUCCAGUGCAUUUGAGCAUGUGCUUAAAGAGCAGAGAUUCUGAUUAAUAGUUGGUGAAUUUGAUUCACAGCAUAAAGUUAAUCUGAAGGUGUUAAAUCACGCAUAGGUAUGCCCAAUAAAUAACCAACUGAAUUCAGUGGCAUUAUUUCCAGCAAUCUGAGGUUUCAGCUGGAACAGAAAUAGGUUAGGAAUUUAACUCAAAUAAAGCAAGGAUGGAAAGAUGAAGAGAACUUAGUAGGCUUUUGGCAGUUUCAGUAGUUCGUUAGCAAUCAGCAUGUGGAGUGCAAUACAGAGCAUUUGUAUUUUCACAGCUCUUCAACAGCAUGGAAGAUGCCUCUGUCUCAGCUCUGGGGGACGAAGCUCCCUCCACCUCGCAUGCCUGCAUGGCAAGCUGCAAAGCAGGUGUCCUACGCUGCUGUUAAGUCCUUCGUGCAGGAGAGGGCAUUAAGCCUCAGCCGUACCGUCAGGCUUGCCGCCUCCAGCAGCGCUCUGCAUUGCAGGUGCAGCUGUGGUAGCUAUGGUGCACGGGGGGCCACCGUCCUCUUCCAUGUGUGAGAGGAACACAGGACACAAUCUGACUGCACUUCCUUCAGGGACUUUAACAAAAUGGGCUUUAUGUAGCCAGCAUCUGGGCCAGCAAAAAUAUUUCUAAUGUUUCUUUAGUUUUAGAAUGAAGCUAAUGGCCUUUGCUCUGUUGAGAAGAAUCAGUCAUCUCCAUAGAAAUAGCUCUUUUUAAAAUUACGUUUCUGAAGAAAACCAUUUUUGCUCCAUAAUGCCUGUAUUGUUUAUCAGUUCAGCUGGUGGUUUAGAGGGCUUUCUCCACUAACACAGAUUAGAAAAGUUGAAGGACUAUGACGGGUAAUACACAUUAAAGAUUAAAAAUGGUGCCACAGCCAAGAGGCCUAGGCUUCACCAGAUUACUAUCUCUCCUCCAUUUCUUUACUUGCCCGUGCAAAGUCAAAGUGGGGUUCAUACUGUCCUCCCACUCCAUAAUUUGCCACCUGAAAAAGAGAAACACAUUGCUUGUGAAGAAGAAAGAGAUCGAGACAGAAAACAGGACUUACCCUUCCAAAAUCAAAAUGAGGCUCAUACUGGCCUCCUACGCCGUAGUUGGCUACCUACAGUGAAAGGAGAAGCACAAACAUCUAGUCAAGCAGUAUUUGUCUAGACAAGAAGGGGUGUGAAUUUUACACACACAAUCUCUAAUUUUUGGAUAGCUGAAGUUUGUAGGAAAUUACAAGUCCCUGUCAACUACCCUGUACUGUACGCAGCAGCGUCCUGCUGGGUUUAUUCACAAAUAGCUCUUUAUUCAUUGAGAUUCCUCAUCCAUUCAGAGCCAGAACGUGACUCUGAGCUUUGGGGACUCGGUCCCUCUCCAGUUCUCUCCGCCACGAUCCAUCUCCCAGCCAAGCCGCAGCUUAAACUUCCCCUCCGGCAGGUCAGCUUUCCUGGGAGCUCCCCCGCCCCUCGGGGUCCCUCCCCCUGCUGAAUGCGAACGCUCCGCUCCGGUUCUCGAGCACCUGCUGAAAACGCUACUUGUCCUCCUAAUGGCUUCCAGCUCUUAGAAGCCGACUGGCACCUUUCAGGACUCCUGAAAACCUGGACAGCCACAGGCUCCAAGGAGACCCAAGCUCCUUGGCUACCGGAGCAGCGGCACAUCCAAGCGCAGUCCUGCCAGCUGUAGCUUCCCCUGGUAAGGUACUCCAGCGCGCGGAGCAGCCACCGCUGUUACUGUGACCUGCUCUGUCCUACAGCUGCCACAACGGACACAGAGCGCUCACGGAUGCCACCGGUUGUCUUCUCAGGAGGGCGUGCGCCCCUCUCUGCACCAGCCUGCCUCUAACACGGGAACCUUUUGAGCACUCCUGCUUGCAGAGAAGUUCACUUGGUUUUAUACCAGCACGGUCCCACCUCCCUUCCCCCAGGGUCCCAGAGUUUUUCUAUAAAAACUUUAAAGACUAUUUCUCUUCAGAA